RNAcentral lists this ribosomal RNA (253 nucleotides) under uncultured bacterium. RNAcentral describes it as "partial 16S ribosomal RNA". It matches the Rfam family "Bacterial small subunit ribosomal RNA", at positions 524 to 776 of the family's 1533-position model. The record is from RNAcentral.
UACAGAGGUCUCAACCGUUGUUCGGAUUCAUUGGGCGUAAAGGGUGCGUAGGCGGCGGGGUAAGUCAGGUGUGAAAUCUCGGGGCUCAACCCCGAAACUGCACUUGAUACUGCCUCGCUUGAGUACUGGAGAGGAGACUGGAAUUUACGGUGUAGCAGUGAAAUGCGUAGAUAUCGUAAGGAAGACCAGUGGCGAAGGCGAGUCUCUGGACAACUCCUGACACUGAGGCACGAAAGCUAGGGGAGCAAACAGG